Molecule: ribosomal RNA, 505 nt
Filed under: uncultured Glomeromycotina
Lineage: Eukaryota; Fungi; Glomeromycota
Description: partial small subunit ribosomal RNA
Rfam family: Eukaryotic small subunit ribosomal RNA
Source: RNAcentral
CCAAUAGCGUAUAUUAAAGUUGUUGCAGUUAAAAAGCUCGUAGUUGAAUUUCGGGAUUGACACAUCGGUCGUGCCUUAAGGGGUAUGAACUGGUGUAGUCAAUUUCUCACCUUCUGGAGAACCGCGAUGCCCUUAAUUGGGUGUCACGGGGAACCAGGACCUUUACUUUGAAAAAAUUAGAGUGUUUAAAGCAGGCAUUUUGCUUGAAUACAUUAGCAUGGAAUAAUAAAAUAGGACGGCAUGAUUCUAUUUUGUUGGUUUCUAGGAUCACCGUAAUGAUUAAUAGGGAUAGUUGGGGGCAUUAGUAUUCAAUUGUCAGAGGUGAAAUUCUUGGAUUUAUUGAAGACUAACUACUGCGAAAGCAUUUGCCAAGGAUGUUUUCAUUAAUCAAGAACGAAAGUUAGGGGAUCGAAGACGAUCAGAUACCGUCGUAGUCUUAACCAUAAACUAUGCCGACUAGGAAUCAGACGAUGUUAAUUUUUUAAUGACUCGUUUGGCACCUUAC